This 1384-nucleotide ribosomal RNA is filed under the name Salmonella enterica. RNAcentral describes it as "partial 23S ribosomal RNA". It matches the Rfam family "Bacterial large subunit ribosomal RNA", at positions 690 to 1973 of the family's 2925-position model. Lineage: Bacteria; Pseudomonadati; Pseudomonadota; Gammaproteobacteria; Enterobacterales; Enterobacteriaceae. The record is from RNAcentral.
GGGCGUUAAGUUGCAGGGUAUAGACCCGAAACCCGGUGAUCUAGCCAUGGGCAGGUUGAAGGUUGGGUAACACUAACUGGAGGACCGAACCGACUAAUGUUGAAAAAUUAGCGGAUGACCUGUGGCUGGGGGUGAAAGGCCAAUCAAACCGGGAGAUAGCUGGUUCUCCCCGAAAGCUAUUUAGGUAGCGCCUCGUGAAUUCAUCUCCGGGGGUAGAGCACUGUUUCGGCUAGGGGGCCAUCCCGGCUUACCAACCCGAUGCAAACUGCGAAUACCGGAGAAUGUUAUCACGGGAGACACACGGCGGGUGCUAACGUCCGUCGUGAAGAGGGAAACAACCCAGACCGCCAGCUAAGGUCCCAAAGUCAUGGUUAAGUGGGAAACGAUGUGGGAAGGCCCAGACAGCCAGGAUGUUGGCUUAGAAGCAGCCAUCAUUUAAAGAAAGCGUAAUAGCUCACUGGUCGAGUCGGCCUGCGCGGAAGAUGUAACGGGGCUAAACCAUGCACCGAAGCUGCGGCAGCGAACGUAUCACUUAAAGCGAUUCAGCGGGUUACGAUUGACGGAGCGAAGCGACGUCAAAGCGUAUACAAAGUCGAGUCGGUUUAAGGAUACGUUCGUUGGGUAGGGGAGCGUUCUGUAAGCCCGUGAAGGUGGCCUGUGAGGGUUGCUGGAGGUAUCAGAAGUGCGAAUGCUGACAUAAGUAACGAUAAAGCGGGUGAAAAGCCCGCUCGCCGGAAGACCAAGGGUUCCUGUCCAACGUUAAUCGGGGCAGGGUGAGUCGACCCCUAAGGCGAGGCCGAAAGGCGUAGUCGAUGGGAAACGGGUUAAUAUUCCCGUACUUGGUGUUACUGCGAAGGGGGGACGGAGAAGGCUAUGUUGGCCGGGCGACGGUUGUCCCGGUUUAAGCGUGUAGGUGUGUGUUCCAGGUAAAUCCGGUUCACUUUAACACUGAGGCGUGACGACGAGGCACUACGGUGCUGAAGCAACAAAUGCCCUGCUUCCAGGAAAAGCCUCUAAGCAUCAGGUAACACGAAAUCGUACCCCAAACCGACACAGGUGGUCAGGUAGAGAAUACCAAGGCGCUUGAGAGAACUCGGGUGAAGGAACUAGGCAAAAUGGUGCCGUAACUUCGGGAGAAGGCACGCUGACACGUAGGUGAAGUGAUUUACUCAUGGAGCUGAAGUCAGUCGAAGAUACCAGCUGGCUGCAACUGUUUAUUAAAAACACAGCACUGUGCAAACACGAAAGUGGACGUAUACGGUGUGACGCCUGCCCGGUGCCGGAAGGUUAAUUGAUGGGGUCAGCGCAAGCGAAGCUCCUGAUCGAAGCCCCGGUAAACGGCGGCCGUAACUAUAACGGUCCUAAGGUAGCGAAAUUCCUUGUC